GGACUGAAAGUAUAACGUUUGUAAAAUGAAUCAGUUUGUUGGCAUUUGAGCAAAAAUUGUUGCAAUUUUCUUAGCAGAAUUAUCUUGUGAAAUCCUAAGUGCACAAAAGUUCUCUUAAAACCAGAUGUACAAAAAAAAAACACAUUUCUUAUCCAUAAACAAAAAAAAGUUGUUGGACAUAAAUGUUGUGCCAAUGUGUCGGACUGAUCUCAAAAACUCUUUGUGGCAUAUUUUUUAACUCAAAGGAAUUUCAAAAAGAGAAAAUGCAGAAUAUAAUGUAAAACUUGACAAAACAAAAGUCAAAUCAUGACAAAGCCAAUGAAACAAAUGAGAACCAAAGACCAGGUAACCUGGGACUUAAAUAUCCAUAAAACCAAUUAAAAAAAGCAGAAACAGCUGCUUGAUUUGAAACUGGAAUCUGGUGUGGGAAGCAGAAAACCACGCAGAACCCAAAAGCGCAUGAAAACUGAAGCAUAGCAGUCACAUUAGACGUGUAUCUGAUCUUCUGCAGGUCUCAGACACAGUAUUAGAUCCUCUGGAGCUCCGUUUUUGCAUUAAUUAAGCGACUUUACCUGCAGGACACUGCAGACAUAAAUUAUGGGCUCUGCAGAGGUGAAUCAGGGGACGGCUGCACUGAAGCCUGAACUACCGAUUUGGACUUCCUGUCAGCGCCGUCAUCAGCGGUCCAGCAUCAUGGGGAAGAACAGGGCAUUGGACUCUUCUGCCAACGUUGCCCAGGAGCACAAGAGGCAGAGGAGUGUGUAUCUGACCGCUCCGACAGAGCGGAGAGGGGCUGGCAUCUGCUUUAAUAACGCUGCCCUCCCCCUCCACACGACCCUCUCCCCGAGCUGUGGAAGGAGCGCCAUCACUGGAGGAGAGGUGUCAGAGGGUUCCUGUCAUGCUGACGUCUUCAUCGCUAAGCUGAGCCGACAGGCAGGGCCUGCCAGCCGCUGGAGGUGACAAUGAAUCCAAUUACCUCCCCUCCAUGGCGCCCAGUCCAGACUUUGGGUGGAGGAAAGAGAGCGGGAUGAGUGAGGGGGGCAGUGGAGAUGGAGACGAGGUGAUGCUCCAACAUCAGAGUGACAGUCUCAGCUUGUUCCUGGAUGCGUUUUUACGCUGUCAGCCUCUGUCUGCACUUAAACAACACAACCAUCCUCUCAUGAUUCACUGAUAUAUGAGACAUGUCAGCAUCUCACAACCAGGAGAGAAGUGUCUAUCUGACUACGCACCAAUCUAAAUAGCAGAUUACAUGAAUUUCAUUUUUUUGUGCAUUUUGCAAUUGUGCGAUGGAGUUUUAGGGCCACCAAAAAAAUAAGAGUAAACUUACGAGAUUUUAAGUCGUAAAUUUACAAGAAAAAAUCUCGUAAAUUUACGAGAUUAAAGUGGAAGUGAGCAUACAGUGCAGCAGCAAGUGAACAGCAGCAGAGCAGACCAACUAAACUCAAUUGAACAGGUAAGCUGGAUGUUUAUUGAUUACUUUCCAAAUGUUUGGAAGCUCAUUUGUUUGAUUUACGAUUUGUUAAGGUUUUAUUUAUUGAUGGGUGUUUUGCAGAAUCUCUGCAGCUCCUUGAUGAAGACAUCGGUAUCCCUGCAGGCGGCUUUCCACUUCAAUCCUUUCUUCCUCCACCAAAGACCAGAUCUCUACGUUUGUGUGAUGCUUCCGUCCGAGGAGGAGCACUUUUUUGACAUUUUCAACGUUCUGAUGCUAAUAUAACAAACUCUUUUCAUUCCUCUUUAUUGUUUAAUGUUGAAACGGGACGUUUCAUCUGGAGGCGUCUGUAACACUGUUUACUUCCGCAUUGGUUUUCAGAUGACAGGUUCAUGACAUAAGGUGACAGAUGAACUUCAGGUGUGUGAAUAAAAAGGAGAAUGAAGGCUGCAGCGGUCCUCUACACCCAACUGUGUCUCUGAACUCCUUAGUUUACAGAUGAAACUCCGCUUUACUGACACUAACCCCGGAAAGCCGGCUCCACUGACAAUAAUGAUUUUGAGUUGCCAAAAGGUUCCGAAUCUUUGUUUUUUAAACCAAUCCGGAAAUAAAGCUUCACAAAAGGCUCGUCGUCUUCAAGCUAGGCUCCGAUAAUGGAAAACUUUGGCGUUUUUUUCAGCGUUAAUCUAUGACUUUUUCCAUGUAAAUUUACGAGAUAAAAACUCGUUUAUUUACGAGAUUUUUUCUAGUAAAUUUACGACUUAAAAUCUUGUAAUUUAAAAGUUAUGACUUUCUUUCUCUUACUUAAAAAACUGGCUUGACUUGGCUGACUUGUUGUAAUAUUGGUAAACUGGCCCUGAAACUUCGUCGUACAAUUGAAAUUUCCUUAACAAAGACUUAAAUAUCUAACAGAUUUCUCAACUAUUUAAUAGAAAUGAAACUUGCAUACCACCAACUAGAACUCAAGUUUAGCAACUACAGUCUGCAUCAAAUCUUCCUCUAAUAAUGUAGCU
Molecule: long non-coding RNA, 2442 nt
Filed under: Oryzias sinensis (Chinese medaka)
Lineage: Eukaryota; Metazoa; Chordata; Actinopteri; Beloniformes; Adrianichthyidae
Description: lncRNA (ENSOSIG00000011145.1)
Source: RNAcentral